CGGCGGCCAUGGCAGGGGGGGAACACCCGGUCCCAUGCCGAACCCGGAAGUUAAGCCCCCGAGCGCCGAUGGUACUGCCGGUCCAGCCGGUGGGAGAGCAGGACGCCG
RNAcentral lists this ribosomal RNA (108 nucleotides) under Granulimonas faecalis. The record is from RNAcentral. Lineage: Bacteria; Bacillati; Actinomycetota; Coriobacteriia; Coriobacteriales; Kribbibacteriaceae.